Phrynosoma platyrhinos (Desert horned lizard) is the source of this 72-nucleotide non-coding RNA. The record is from the annotation of a GenBank genome assembly. NCBI's taxonomy places the organism in Eukaryota, Metazoa, Chordata, Lepidosauria, Squamata, Phrynosomatidae.
UACAGCAUGGUGUAGUGGUUUGAGUGUUAGACUAUGACUCUGGAGACCAGGGUUCAAAUCCCUGCUCUGCCA